UGGGGAAUUUUGCGCAAUGGGGGAAACCCUGACGCAGCAACGCCGCGUGAGUGAUGAAGGCCUUCGGGUCGUAAAGCUCUGUCAGAGGGGAAGAAGUGUGAGGUGGCUAAUAUCCAUUUCACUUGACGGUACCUUCAAAGGAAGCACCGGCUAACUCCGUGCCAGCAGCCGCGGUAAUACGGAGGGUGCGAGCGUUGUUCGGAAUUAUUGGGCGUAAAGCGCGUGUAGGCGGUUUUUUAAGUCUGAUGUGAAAGCCCUGGGCUCAACCCGGGAAGUGCAUUGGAAACUGGGAGACUUGAAUACGGGAGAGGGCAGUGGAAUUCCUGGUGUAGGAGUGAAAUCCGUAGAUAUCAGGAGGAACACCGGUGCGAAGGCGGCUGCCUGGACCGAUAUUGACGCUGA
Molecule: ribosomal RNA, 402 nt
Filed under: uncultured bacterium
Lineage: Bacteria
Description: bacterial SSU rRNA
Rfam family: Bacterial small subunit ribosomal RNA
Source: RNAcentral